ACACACAUAGUAUAUACUGACUGUAUACUGACACACAUAGUAUAUACUGACUGUAUACUGACACACAUAGUAUAUAGACUGUAUACUGACACACAUAGUAUAUACUGACUGUAUACUGACACACAUAGUAUAUACUGACUGUAUACUGACACACAUAGUAUAUAUAUACUGUAUACUGACUGUAUACUGACACAUAGUAUAUACUGACUGUAUACUGACACACAUAGUGUGUAUAUAUACUGUAUACUGACACACAUAGUAUAUACUGACUGUAUACUGACACACAUAGUAUACACUCACUGUAUACUGACACACAUAGUAUAUAUUGAGACACACAGUAUAUAUACUGACUGUAUACUGACACACAUAGUAUAUAUACUGUAUACUGACACACAUAGUAUAUACUGACUGUAUACUGACACACAUAGUAUAUACUGACUGUAUACUGACACACAUAGUAUAUAC
Non-coding RNA from Pelobates cultripes (western spadefoot toad), 465 nucleotides. The record is from the annotation of a GenBank genome assembly. NCBI's taxonomy places the organism in Eukaryota, Metazoa, Chordata, Amphibia, Anura, Pelobatidae.